UUUGGAAUUUUGGACAAUGGGCGAAAGCCUGAUCCAGCGACGCCGCGUGGACGAUGAAGGCCUUCGGGUUGUAAAGUCCUUUUGUUAGGGAACAAUUUUUGAGCGUACCUAACGAAUAAGAGGUUGCUAACUCUGUGCCAGCAGCAGCGGUAAUACAGAGACCUCAAGCGUUAUCCGGAAUCAUUGGGCGUAAAGCGUACCGAUAGGUGGUUUAGAAAGUCAGAUGUGAAAUUCCAAGGCUCAACCUUGGGACUGUCAUUUGAAACUUCUAAACUAGAGGGGCAAAGAGGAAGCUGGAACGAACGGUGUAGUAGUGAAAUGCGUUGAUAUCGUUCGGAACACCAAUAGCGAAGGCGGGCUUCUGGGUGCCACCUGACACUGCUAGGACGAAAGCGUGGGG
This 400-nucleotide ribosomal RNA is filed under the name uncultured bacterium. RNAcentral's name for it is "bacterial SSU rRNA". It matches the Rfam family "Bacterial small subunit ribosomal RNA", at positions 355 to 766 of the family's 1533-position model. The record is from RNAcentral.